AUACUUACCUGGCAGGGGAGACACUGUGAUCACCAAGGCAGUUCUCCCAGGGCGAGGCUCACCCAUUGCACUUCGGGUGUGCUGACCCCUGCGAUUUCCCUAAAUGCGGGAAACUCGACUGCAUAAAGA
RNAcentral lists this small nuclear RNA (129 nucleotides) under Leptobrachium leishanense (Leishan spiny toad). Its description in RNAcentral is "U1 spliceosomal RNA (ENSLLEG00000028810.1)". It matches the Rfam family "U1 spliceosomal RNA". From Rfam's summary of the family: U1 is a small nuclear RNA (snRNA) component of the spliceosome (involved in pre-mRNA splicing). Its 5' end forms complementary base pairs with the 5' splice junction, thus defining the 5' donor site of an intron. There are significant differences in sequence and secondary structure between metazoan and yeast U1 snRNAs, the latter being much longer (568 nucleotides as compared to 164 nucleotides in human). Lineage: Eukaryota; Metazoa; Chordata; Amphibia; Anura; Megophryidae. The record is from Rfam by way of RNAcentral.